This 256-nucleotide ribosomal RNA is filed under the name uncultured bacterium. RNAcentral describes it as "partial 16S ribosomal RNA". It matches the Rfam family "Bacterial small subunit ribosomal RNA", at positions 524 to 776 of the family's 1533-position model. The record is from RNAcentral.
UACGGAGGGUGCGAGCGUUGUCCGGAAUCACUGGGCGUAAAGGGCGCGUAGGCGGCUCAUACCCAAGCGUGCGGUGAAAGGCCGGGGCUCAACCCCGGCUCGGCCGUGCGGACUGGGGGGCUAGAGCGCUGUAGAGGCGGGCGGAAUUCCGGGUGUAGCGGUGGAAUGCGUAGAGAUCCGGAAGAACACCGGUGGCGAAGGCGGCCCGCUGGGCAGUGACUGACGCUGAGGCGCGACAGCGUGGGGAGCAAACAGG